GCUUUCUUGCACUGAGCAUCAACCCUAAGCAGCGGAAGUGGACACUUCUGUCUCAACAUACACAUACAAGAGACAUAAGUCAAAUCUGUUGCUGCCCGUCCCAGAAAACCACCAUCAGCAUCCUGCCGGACAUACAAGAGGCUAAACCAUGAUCAAGCGCAAGCUGAGCUUCAAGUGGUUUGGUAGCCUCACAAACCUCCGGCGGAAAUCAGAUGCGCAGAAAGAUGACGAAUCAGUCAAAGAAAUGUCCACCGACGACAUGGGCAUGCAUCCACGAAGCCCGAGCUAUGCCACCUCUAGUGAAAUGUACACACACAUGGGCACCAUGCCGCGCCAUUCUAAGAAGGACAAAAACUCGAAAAAGAGCAAGACCAAAGACAAGGCCAACCUCACUCGGAGCCAAAGCUUGAGACCAGACCAUGUGGUUGAAUCUCCUCUCCUUAGUAUGCUUUCUGGAAAGGGGCUGGAGGUUCUGGAAAACCCCAUUAUUGAAGACAAGACGGCUUACAUCCAGAAUCGAGACCUUCCACCUCCUCCAUGUGUGGAUGGACACUCAACAAGGCUGGAAGAUGAAAAUAAGAAGCUUGAAGUAAACUUCAAACAUGUUGAUGCAUCGAAUGCAUGUCUGGGAGCUUCAAUAGAACUAUGCGUGAGCCAAGAGUCAACGGUCCAGCCAGUGUUGCCCAAGAAGAGACUUAAAGAAGGAGACAAACUGAUGAAGGACACUGAGGAGCUCAAGGAGGACAAUAACUUGAUCCAGUUGCCUCAGAAGACUGGCAACCAGAUGGAGAAGAAGAUAGCAGUAGAAGAAGAUGCUAAUAUAGUGUGGAACUAUAAACUUGACGGCCAAGAAGAGAAGGAGUUAAACAGUGAACUGGACAUCACAGAAAACCAGGGAGAAUAUGUGGAGGUAAGGCUGUUUUCUUUUAAACAAGAAGUCAAUGGGUAAAGUGUGUUUAAACUAGACAAUCUCUCAUUGUUAAUGAGAAGAAUCUGGAAGGAAUUUCCUUAAGAUCUGUCUGGUCUUUGAUUUAGGCUAUAUUUUUAGACUUUCUCCAGACAGCAUGCUGAAUAUGGCUAUUUCAUGCUUAAUUAGGCAAAAUCCCUGUAUUCAUUACCUAAAAGCACCAUUUUAGAUGUAAUAAGAAAUUAAUCUAAUGAGGUCUUUUGAAAUGUGCUGAUUUGGUACAAAUUAAUGUCCUUUCUAGCCCUGUUCUUACUUGCAGCCAUUAAGAUAUUAGAUUCUCCAUUUAAUUGCUGUGUAGUAAACUCUGUCACCUCAAGAUGGCGCUGCGAACUGGCUUUGAAUUCUUGAAGAAAAAGUAGAGAAAGAAACUUCAAAACAUUUUUUUCAUUUUCUGUCGGCAUAGUUUCUGAUUUAUUAGAAAUCUC
This 1392-nucleotide long non-coding RNA is filed under the name Danio rerio (zebrafish). RNAcentral's name for it is "lncRNA (ENSDARG00000117790.1)". The record is from RNAcentral. Lineage: Eukaryota; Metazoa; Chordata; Actinopteri; Cypriniformes; Danionidae.